This 66-nucleotide transfer RNA is filed under the name Desmognathus ocoee (Ocoee salamander). RNAcentral describes it as "tRNA-Cys". Lineage: Eukaryota; Metazoa; Chordata; Amphibia; Caudata; Plethodontidae. The record is from RNAcentral.
AAGCCCCGGCGGGAGUUAUUCCGCUCUUUAAGAUUUGCAAUUUUAUGUGCUCUACACCACGAAGCU